AUGGGGCGCGCCACCACCUGCCUGGCCACCUUGUUGCUCGCCGUCACCUUUCUGUUUGCCUCCGCCGCCACGAAGUCGCUUACGGCCAUGCAGACGGACCAGGCGGGGACUAAGAGCGGGUCCACCCUGCCGGCGCACUGCUGCAAACAGGAGGAGAAAGCGGUGGCCAAGCCUCAGCUUGUUGUUGGCGAUCUAGUGGACUUGGCAUCAGCGGAGGAGCAAGGCCAGAAGCCUAGCCCUCACCGGAGUAACAAAAAGAAGAUCCACCACCACCACCAUGACGACGACGACGACGAUGAUGAUGGUGGUGGUGGUGGUGGUGAUGAUGAUGAUGAUGAUGGCGACGACGAUGACGACGACGAUGAUGAUGGUGGCGAUGAUGAUAAUGAUGAUGGUGGCGACGAUGAUGACGACAAUGGCCGAUCCCACUCGGACCACGACUGUGACUCGGGCUCUGACUGUGAUGGUGAUGACGCUAACUCAAAGGGCAGGAAGAAGAAGCCCUCAGCUCCAGAGAAGAAGGGAGUCCUGGGAGGUAACCGGUAA
Molecule: ribosomal RNA, 546 nt
Filed under: Triticum aestivum (bread wheat)
Lineage: Eukaryota; Viridiplantae; Streptophyta; Magnoliopsida; Poales; Poaceae
Description: partial small subunit ribosomal RNA
Source: RNAcentral